Molecule: ribosomal RNA, 700 nt
Filed under: uncultured Chloroflexota bacterium
Lineage: Bacteria; Bacillati; Chloroflexota
Description: bacterial SSU rRNA
Rfam family: Bacterial small subunit ribosomal RNA
Source: RNAcentral
GCUUUUGUAGCAAUACGAGAGUAUCCUAGUGGCGAACGGGUGAGUAACGCGUUGGUGACCUACCCCAAAGUGUGGAAUAACAGUCCGAAAGGAUUGCUAAUACCGCAUGUGGUUAUCGGGCUUAGAAACUGAUAACUAAAGGAGCAAUUCGCUUUGGGAGGGACCUGCGUCCCAUCAGCUAGUUGGUGAGGUAACGGCUCACCAAGGCUACGACGGGUAGGGGACCUGAGAGGGUGACCCCCCACAAUGGAACUGAAACACGGUCCAUACACCUACGGGUGGCAGCAGUAGGGAAUAUUGCACAAUGGGCGAAAGCCUGAUGCAGCAACGCCGCGUGUGCGAUGAAGGCCUUCGGGUCGUAAAGCACUUUUCUGAGAGAUGAGAAAGGACAGUAUCUCAGGAAUAAGUCUCGGCUAACUACGUGCCAGCAGCCGCGGUAAAACGUAGGAGGCGAGCGUUAUCCGGAUUCACUGGGCGUAAAGCGCGUGCAGGUGGUUCGGUAAGUUGGGCGUGAAAUCUACCCGGCUCAACUGGGAGAGGUCGUCCAAGACUACCGAACUUGAGAGCAGAAGAGGAAGAUGGAAUUCCCGGUGUAGUGGUGAAAUGCGUAGAUAUCGGGAGGAACACCAGUGGCGAAGGCGAUCUUCUGGUCUGUUUCUGACACUCAGACGCGACAGCUAGGGUAGUAAACGGGAUUAGA